GCCCGCGUAGGAUUAGCUAGUUGGUGAGGUAAAAGCUCACCAAGGCGACGAUCCUUAGCUGGUCUGAGAGGAUGAUCAGCCACACUGGGACUGAGACACGGCCCAGACUCCUACGGGAGGCAGCAGUGGGGAAUAUUGGACAAUGGGCGAAAGCCUGAUCCAGCAAUGCCGCGUGAGUGAUGAAGGCCUUAGGGUUGUAAAGCUCUUUUACCCGGGAUGAUAAUGACAGUACCGGGAGAAUAAGCUCCGGCUAACUCCGUGCCAGCAGCCGCGGUAAUACG
This 281-nucleotide ribosomal RNA is filed under the name uncultured Ehrlichia sp. RNAcentral's name for it is "partial 16S ribosomal RNA". It matches the Rfam family "Bacterial small subunit ribosomal RNA", at positions 229 to 527 of the family's 1533-position model. Lineage: Bacteria; Pseudomonadati; Pseudomonadota; Alphaproteobacteria; Rickettsiales; Anaplasmataceae. The record is from RNAcentral.